UACAUGCCCACCACCCAUCAGUAGGGGAGA
RNAcentral lists this non-coding RNA (30 nucleotides) under Rattus norvegicus (Norway rat). Lineage: Eukaryota; Metazoa; Chordata; Mammalia; Rodentia; Muridae. The record is from RNAcentral.